Molecule: non-coding RNA, 1761 nt
Organism: Manis javanica (Malayan pangolin)
Lineage: Eukaryota; Metazoa; Chordata; Mammalia; Pholidota; Manidae
Source: RefSeq, a predicted model, not a curated record
AGAAACUGGACUCAGCCACAGAGUGGAGAGCCUGUCCACUGAGUACCUAUCCUUGAAGCUUCCAUUUAUUUCUCCUCAAAUGAAGUCAGCAAAAGACAGAACUGAGGAGGGAAGAGCUGAGCUGGGGUGUUAAAGUGAAAGAAGGAAGCUAGUGACAGCUGAGCCACUUAAGGCCAGAACUCUGAGCUGAGCGGUGGAGGCCCCCUUGGACCCGGAGAGAAGAGGCUGCCUUGGAACCAGCAAUGAGCCAUCCUGACUGCAGGCUGAACCUCCGGCCCCUGGGAACCCCUAGAGGUGUGUCCUCUGCGGUUGGCUCACAUGGUGUUGGUGCUUCGCCAGGUGACAAGAAGUCAAAGAACAAGUCCACACGAGGGAAGAAAAAGAGCAUAUUCGAAACCUACAUGUCUAAGGAGGAUGUUUCAGAAGGCUUGAAGAGAGGAACGCUUAUCCAGCCCACAUACUGGAGUCCAUUUUAUCUACAAGCUUCUUGGCUCCCAUUUUGUUCUGUGCACGAGGACCCACUGUGCUGCUCUCAUAGCCGCCCCUCUCCCGCAGGUGCAUGCUGCUCCGUCCACGCUGAGCUUCAAGACUUUUCAUGUAAAAACUCUGUUUUUUGAUUCCUGUGUGACUCUGGACGUGCUGUUCCUGAUACUUGGAAAGCUUUCUUCCACUAUCUUGAUGUAAUUGUGCUUGACCUUUAAGUCCCUACCUAAAAAUUACCCUGUUUUGAGAAGGUUCACUGUAAUUUUCCAAGCAGAAUCAGCCAUUGUCAUUGUCCUGAAGCUGACUUCUCUGUGUACCCUUUAUUGUAAACUCAUUACCAUUUCUUGGCAUUUAUGUGUCCUCAAAUAGACUAUUCACUUCACUGUGGGCAGGUCACGUCUUAUUCCCCACACAUUAACCCAGACUCUGGCAUUUGAUUGAUGCUUAACAAGUUUAUAUUGAAUAAAUAUUUAUUUGCUGACCAAAUGAAUAAAGGAUCAAGGUGUACUGUCUUUUGAAGAAGAGUGAGGGGAACCUUGGUUGUUAUAACUUAGAAGAAAAAUUGCUUAUAGUUUUGGUUAUAGAAUUUAUAGAGGUAAAGUGAGGGAAAUAUUCUGCAAUGGUAUUAGUUUUUGCUUUCUCCUAUUAAUUUUUGGUUUUGAGGCAACUUUUUGCUGAUAUUAAAACAAAAAAAGCUGAUCGAUGUAACAACUCUCAUUCCCAGGAGUUUAUAAGUGAUUCCUUCUGGCCUGUGACUUCAUGAGACUCUGCAGCCAGAGCCUCCCCCCACAGAUGAGAACAGUUGUUCUUUGCAGAUGGGGAAAGGAAUGGGUUCCAGAUAUGAGGUCACCAUGUGAAAUAUACAACACUGUAAAUAAGAUUUUCAUAGGCAGAGAAACAGAGGCCAUCUGCUUUCUGAUAUAAACUUGAUGUGUGCGGGCCUUGAUGGGCAAGGUAGAAAGCUAGACAAAAGAUAAUUUGAAUGCUGUUGGAGAAAAACUAAACUUAUUAAAUAUGCUUAUGAGCAUUUGUUGACUUUGAUAUUCAAAUUUAAGUUUAUAGUGCCAUCUUUUUUCUUCUCCCAUCCAGAGAAGAAACUUUUAUAGAGAAUAUUAUGAAGAUAUUUUAAAAUAUGAGUAGAGUAAUACUUUAUUUCAUUUUCAAUACUUGACUGAUAAUUUGACAUUGUUUUGCCCUAUGUGGGGAGUGGAGGAGAGGAGUCCACAGUGACCAAAGAAAUCUCUUUCCUGUGCUUGAACUGACCAGCAAUAAAACAUA